AUUGAACGCUGGCGGAAUGCUUUACGCAUGCAAGUCGAACGGUAACAGGGACUUCGGUCCGCUGACGAGUGGCGAACGGGUGAGUAAUACAUCGGAACGUACCCAGUUGUGGGGGAUAACUACGCGAAAGCGUAGCUAAUACCGCAUACGACCUGAGGGUGAAAGCGGGGGACCGUAAGGCCUCGCGCAGUUGGAGCGGCCGAUGUUCGAUUAGCUAGUUGGUGAGGUAAAGGCUCACCAAGGCGACGAUCGAUAGCUGGUCUGAGAGGAUGAUCAGCCACACUGGGACUGAGACACGGCCCAGACUCCUACGGGAGGCAGCAGUGGGGAAUUUUGGACAAUGGGCGAAAGCCUGAUCCAGCCAUUCCGCGUGAGUGAAGAAGGCCUUCGGGUUGUAAAGCUCUUUCGGGUAGAAAGAAAUCGCAUGGGCCAAUACCCUGUGCGGACGACGGUACUACCAUAAGAAGCACCGGCUAACUACGUGCCAGCCGCCGCAGUAA
This 500-nucleotide ribosomal RNA is filed under the name uncultured bacterium. RNAcentral describes it as "partial 16S ribosomal RNA". It matches the Rfam family "Bacterial small subunit ribosomal RNA", at positions 30 to 523 of the family's 1533-position model. The record is from RNAcentral.